ACUGUAAACACAUUCUCUGAGACUCUUCCUGUGUGCCUGUGUGUCUGUCUCUCUGUGCAUCUCUGUCUCUGUCUCUGUCUCUGUCUCUGUCUCUGACUCCCUCUCUCUGUCAGGAAUAUUGCAGCAUGACUGGGAAGCCUGUCCUUCAUUACUUCAAUUGAAGAAGAAGAAUGGAGUCCAUCCGGUGGCUCCUGGCAGCAGCUGGAGUAGAGUUUGAGGAAGAACUUUUUGAAACCCAUGAAGAGUUUGAGAAGUUAAUCCAAGGUGGAACCCUGAUGUACGAGCAAGUGCCCAUGGUGGAAAUCGAUGGAAUGACUUUGGUGCAGACCAGUGCCAUCUUAAGAUAUGUAGCUGCAAAAUAUGACUUGUAUGGAAGGAACCUGGAGGAACAAGCCUGAAGAGAAGGAGAUGAACCUUGAAUACAUCCUCCACCGAGCUACAACAAGAUUCUUCCCCGUUUAUGAGAAGGACUUCAAGGUGAGAACCAGCCAAAUUCCUACAAUUAACAGCUUCCUCCAACCUGGAAGCCAGAGGAAGCCUCCUUUGGAGGAGCGAUCCAUUGGGACUGCAAAGGACAUAUUCAAAUUUGAAUGAGGACUGUUUCUUAAAAACAUGAGCAAUAUAGUAGCUGAGUAUUAACAGCUACAGAGGCUGGAGUUACUCAGUAAGUAUACUGAGUAACUUGACACUGCAUUCAUAAAAAGACACUCACUAAGUAUAUGGCCAGAGAAAUAUCCUGAAGUUAGUAAUAAAUGUUAGGAAUCUUAGUAUGUUAGCAAUGUUAGAAUGUUAGUAAUGGAAAUAUUAAAUGUGUAAGAGAAAAACUACUAGAAGCUUAUCAAUAAACUACAAGAACCAACUCUUGUUUGAAGUAAGACAGGCUACCAAGACAGAAUUCAGAAAAUCCAAGGAGCCCUCGGCCUUCUGUAUGAUCCUAGAAUAAACUUGUAUGUAGCAAGUGAAA
RNAcentral lists this long non-coding RNA (964 nucleotides) under Mus musculus (house mouse). Its description in RNAcentral is "predicted gene, 71569". Lineage: Eukaryota; Metazoa; Chordata; Mammalia; Rodentia; Muridae. The record is from RNAcentral.